RNAcentral lists this ribosomal RNA (1383 nucleotides) under uncultured bacterium. Its description in RNAcentral is "bacterial SSU rRNA". It matches the Rfam family "Bacterial small subunit ribosomal RNA". The record is from RNAcentral.
AGAGUUUGAUCCUGGCUCAGGAUGAACGCUGGCGGCGUGCUUAACACAUGCAAGUCGAACGGACUCAUAUUGAAACCUAGUGAUUUAUGAGUUAGUGGCGGACGGGUGAGUAACGCGUGGAUAACCUACCGUAUACCGGGGGAUAACACUUAGAAAUAGGUGCUAAUACCGCAUAAGCGCACGGCUCCGCAUGGGGCAGUGUGAAAAACUCCGGUGGUAUACGAUGGAUCCGCGUCUGAUUAGCUAGUUGGCGGGGUAACGGCCCACCAAGGCAGCGAUCAGUAGCCGGCCUGAGAGGGUGGACGGCCACAUUGGGACUGAGACACGGCCCAAACUCCUACGGGAGGCAGCAGUGGGGAAUAUUGCACAAUGGGGGAAACCCUGAUGCAGCGACGCCGCGUGAGUGAAGAAGUAUCUCGGUACGUAAAGCUCUAUCAGCAGGGAAGAAAAUGACGGUACCUGACUAAGAAGCCCCGGCUAACUACGUGCCAGCAGCCGCGGUAAUACGGAGGGUGCAAGCGUUACUCGGAAUCACUGGGCGUAAAGAGUGCGUAGGCGGGGUAAUAAGUCAGAUGUGAAAUCCUGUAGCUUAACUACAGAACUGCAUUUGAAACUGUUACUCUGGAGUGUGGGAGAGGUAGGUGGAAUUCUUGGUGUAGGGGUAAAAUCCGUAGAGAUCAAGAGGAAUACUCAUUGCGAAGGCGACCUGCUGGAACAUUACUGACGCUGAUGCACGAAAGCGUGGGGAGCAAACAGGAUUUAGAUACCCUGGUAGUCCACGCCCUAAACGAUGGAUGCUAGUUGUUGCCUUGCUUGUCAGGGCAGUAAUGCAGCUAACGCAUUAAGCAUCCCGCCUGGGGAGUACGGUCGCAAGAUUAAAACUCAAAGGAAUAGACGGGGACCCGCACAAGCGGUGGAGCAUGUGGUUUAAUUCGAAGAUACGCGAAGAACCUUACCUAGGCUUGACAUUGAUAGAAUCUACUAGAGAUAGUGGAGUGCCCUUCGGGGACCUCUCACACAGGUGGUGCAUGGUUGUCGUCAGCUCGUGUCGUGAGAUGUUGGGUUAAGUCCCGCAACGAGCGCAACCCCUAUUUCCAGUAGCCAGCAGGUAAGGCUGGGCACUCUGGAGAGACUGCCCGGGACAACCGGGAGGAAGGCGGGGAUGACGUCAAAUCAUCAUGCCCCUUAUGACCAGGGCGACACACGUGCUACAAUGGCGUAAACAAAGGGAAGCAGGACGGCGACGUUGAGCAAAUCCCAGAAAUAACGUCCCAGUUCGGAUUGUAGUCUGCAACCCGACUACAUGAAGCUGGAAUCGCUAGUAAUCGCGAAUCAGAAUGUCGCGGUGAAUACGUUCCCGGGUCUUGCACUCACCGCCCGUCA